Molecule: long non-coding RNA, 1026 nt
Organism: Rosa rugosa (rugosa rose)
Lineage: Eukaryota; Viridiplantae; Streptophyta; Magnoliopsida; Rosales; Rosaceae
Exons: 4
Source: RefSeq, a predicted model, not a curated record
CUCACAAUUGACCUAAUCCUAUUUCGAAAACAACUGAACUCCUCUCUCGUUCUCUCCACCAGUCCGCCGUCCCCAAUUUCCCUGCAACUCUUCUCGACUUCUCUCUCAUUCUCUCAGCCGCUGCCUCCGUUGUGAGACUGUUCCCCGAUUUCCCUCUAGGUCGUAGCUUCAUCCUCCAUCGGUCCAUCCCUCGAGUCUGCUCCAUCCCUACUCCGUUGCUUUGGUAGAUCUGCAAUUCCAACUAGUCAACGACGCCGUCGAUCACCUAAAAGGCUAAAAUCCGGCGGCUACCGCGGCCUCUUCUCUCAUAUCAAGGUUCGAGUGAAACAGAAACUGGAGCUUCCCCUUUUUUGCAGUCUUGUAGACAUUCUUGUGUAACUUCUGGAAGCUGAAUACAUAUAUCUGCAAUCUAGCACGGAUUGAAACGAAAUUGAAUCAAGUUGAAACGAUGGCUUUUGAAUCAAGGUUAUGGCUUAUUUGUUCCUUUUAUUUUUCUUUUGAAGUUGGUGUUUUGAUUUAUUGGACAAGAGUUGAAUGAGUUAAUUUUUUUUAUGCGUUUUGAAGAACCCAGUUGUUCCUUUGAUUAGAUGUUGGGGUCAGAAUGAUUAGAUAUUGUUUUAUGCAUGUUUUGAGUUCUUAUUGUCACAAUGAAUAUAUAACUGGUACUAGUAACUAGUUCUUAGUAACAAUCUAGUUGCUGUAUGCUAUUUUUUUUCUAGUUCUUCUGUUUACCAAAACAUGUUUGCUGGUUCUUUAAAUCUCUAUUUAAAUGUGUAGGUACCAAGAUCAGUUGAAUCCAAUGAGUUAUCAACAAAUCUGCAGCCUCAAUUUUGAAGGGCUGCAGGCAUAUGAUAAAAGGGAAGAGUAAAGAAGCUUUCAUAUAAUUUAGAGAACCAUUGAAGUCCAAGUUCGCUGCAUAUAAGUUGUAUUAAUAAUUUACUUUUGUUUUAAGUUGUAAUUGGGAAUGUUCCUAUACUUAAUUUGUAUUCUCUGUCUUUUUAUUUCAAUACAUUAAAUCGGGGCGUG